Molecule: ribosomal RNA, 460 nt
Filed under: uncultured bacterium
Lineage: Bacteria
Description: partial 16S ribosomal RNA
Rfam family: Bacterial small subunit ribosomal RNA
Source: RNAcentral
CCUACGGGAGACAGCAGUGAGGAAUAUUGGUCAAUGGACGAGAGUCUGACCCAGCCAAGUCGCGUGAAGGAUGACUGCCCUAUGGGUUGUAAACUUCUUUUAUAAAGGAAUAAAACGACGCACGUGUGCCUUUUUGCAUUUACUUUAUCAAUAAGGAUCGGCUAACUCCGUGCCAUCAGCCGCGGUACUACGGAGGAUACGAGCGUUAUCCGGAUUUAUUGGGGUUAAAGGGAGCGUAGAUGGGUUGUUAAGUCAGGUGUGAAAGUUUGCGGCUCAACCGUAAAAUUGCAAUUGAUACUGGCAGUCUUGAGUACAGUAGAGGUAGGCGGAAUUCGUGGUGUAGCGGUGAAAUGCUUAGAUAUCACGAAGAACACCGAUUGCGAAGGCAGCUUACUAAAAUGUGACUGACAUUGAUGCUCGAAAGUGUGGGUAUCAAACAGGAUUAGAUACCCUUGUAGUC